RNAcentral lists this ribosomal RNA (398 nucleotides) under uncultured Sphingobacteriales bacterium. RNAcentral describes it as "bacterial SSU rRNA". It matches the Rfam family "Bacterial small subunit ribosomal RNA", at positions 987 to 1382 of the family's 1533-position model. The record is from RNAcentral. Lineage: Bacteria; Pseudomonadati; Bacteroidota; Sphingobacteriia; Sphingobacteriales.
GUAAGAUGACUGUAGGUGAAAGCUUACAUCUCUUCGGAGCAUUUUUACGAGGUGCUGCAUGGUUUGUCGUCAGCUCGUGCCGUGAGGUGUCGGGUUAAGUCCCAUAACGAGCGCAACCCCUACCUUUUAGUUGCCAUCAGGUAAUGCUGGGGACUCUAAAGGAACUGCCUACGCAAGUAGUGAGGAAGGCGGGGAUGACGUCAAAUCAGCACGGCCCUUACGUCCAGGGCUACACACGUGCUACAAUGGCCGAUACAGAGGGCAGCUACCUGGUGACAGGAUGCAAAUCUCCAAAGUCGGUCUCAGUUCGGAUCGGAGUCUGCAACCCGACUCCGUGAAGUUGGAUUCGCUAGUAAUCGCGCAUCAGCCAUGGCACGGUGAAUACGUUCCCGGGCCUU